Molecule: ribosomal RNA, 253 nt
Filed under: uncultured bacterium
Lineage: Bacteria
Description: partial 16S ribosomal RNA
Rfam family: Bacterial small subunit ribosomal RNA
Source: RNAcentral
UACAGAGGGUGCAAGCGUUGUUCGGAAUUAUUGGGCGUAAAGGGCGUGUAGGCGGUCUGCUAAGUCAUGUGUGAAAUCCCUCGGCUUAACCGAGGAACGACGCAUGAAACUGGCAAGCUAGAGUACCAAAGAGGGGGGUGGAAUUCCCGGUGUAGCGGUGAAAUGCGUAGAUAUUCGGAAGAACACCAGUGGCGAAGGCGACUCGCUGGACAAGUAUUGACGCUGAGGUGCGAAAGCGUGGGGAGCAAACAGG